UGAGAUGUAGCAUAACUAAUGCUUUUCAUUUACACUGAAGGGAUGUUUGAGUGAUCGAUCCGUCUUAA
This 68-nucleotide transfer RNA is filed under the name Pachychilus sp. Its description in RNAcentral is "tRNA-Val". Lineage: Eukaryota; Metazoa; Mollusca; Gastropoda; Pachychilidae. The record is from RNAcentral.